RNAcentral lists this small RNA (617 nucleotides) under Pan troglodytes (chimpanzee). RNAcentral describes it as "retained intron". The record is from RNAcentral. Lineage: Eukaryota; Metazoa; Chordata; Mammalia; Primates; Hominidae.
GGGAUUCACCGCAAGUGAGGAAGGAAAUCAUUCUUUGUGCUUUGGGGAUGGGGAAUUGAUGAUUUCAGCACCUGUUCCAACUAAGACUAAAGUGGCCGUUGAUGAGAAUAAAGCCAAAGAAUUCCUUGGCAGCCUGAAGCGCCAGAAGCGGCAGCUGUGGGACCGGACUCGGCCCGAGGUGCAGCAGUGGUACCAGCAGUUUCUCUACAUGGGCUUUGACGAAGCGAAAUUUGAAGAUGACAUCACCUAUUGGCUUAACAGAGAUCGAAAUGGACAUGAAUACUAUGGCGAUUACUACCAACGUCACUAUGAAGAAGACUCUGCAAUUGGUCCCCGGAGCCCCUACGGCUUUAGGCAUGGAGCCAGCGUCAACUACGAUGACUACUAACCAUGACUUGCCACACGCUGUACAAGAAGCAAGUAGCGGUUCUCUUCAUGUAUCUCCUAAUGCCUUACACUACUUGGUUUCUGAUUUGCUCUAUUUCAGCAGAUCUUUUCUACCUACUUCGUGUGAUCAAAAAAGAAGAGUUAAAACAACACAUGUAAAUGCCUUUUGAUAUUUCAUGGGAAUGCCUCUCAUUUAAAAAUAGAAAUAAAGCAUUUUGUUAAAAAGAAAA